Molecule: transfer RNA, 74 nt
Filed under: Camelus bactrianus (Bactrian camel)
Lineage: Eukaryota; Metazoa; Chordata; Mammalia; Artiodactyla; Camelidae
Also listed under: 2 other names
Rfam family: tRNA
About the family: Transfer RNA (tRNA) molecules are approximately 80 nucleotides in length.
Source: Rfam by way of RNAcentral
GUGGGCAUAGCUCAGUGUGGUAGAGCGCAUGCUCAGCAUGCACAAGGUCCUGGGUUCAAUCCCCAGUACCUCCA